UGCCAGCCGCCGCGGUAAUACGGAGGGUGCAAGCGUUAAUCGGAAUCACUGGGCGUAAAGCGCGCGUAGGCGGUUGUGUAAGUCGGAUGUGAAAGCCCAGGGCUUAACCUUGGAACUGCAUUCGAUACUGCAUGACUAGAGUGUGGUAGAGGGAAGUGGAAUUUCCGGUGUAGCGGUGAAAUGCGUAGAUAUCGGAAGGAACAUCAGUGGCGAAGGCGGCUUCCUGGACCAACACUGACGCUGAGGUGCGAAAGCGUGGGUAGCAAACAGGAUUAGAUA
RNAcentral lists this ribosomal RNA (279 nucleotides) under uncultured bacterium. RNAcentral's name for it is "partial 16S ribosomal RNA". It matches the Rfam family "Bacterial small subunit ribosomal RNA", at positions 506 to 784 of the family's 1533-position model. The record is from RNAcentral.